Molecule: long non-coding RNA, 5562 nt
Organism: Aptenodytes forsteri (emperor penguin)
Lineage: Eukaryota; Metazoa; Chordata; Aves; Sphenisciformes; Spheniscidae
Exons: 3
Source: RefSeq, a predicted model, not a curated record
UCUCUGAAUUUUUCAUGAGUGGGCAACAGUUUUCUAUCCUGCUAGUUCAAUUUUCACGAUGAUUUAAAAAGCAAACAGAUGUUCCCGGGAAGAAAAAAUUGCACCAUACAAAGUAAAAGGAUUACUGAAAACGAGAAAAGAACAGGAACUGCAUGAGACGAGGAGUUAAAACCAAGGACGGGCCUGGCUGGAGGGAAAGCAGAGGAGAAUCUGCCCUGGCGAACAAGAGUCGGUGCAGCCUUUGGAAGGAUGGAGUACGCAGAGCUGGUGGUGGCCUCUUCUCCCCUUUCCGUGAGCAUCUCUUCACGCCGUGGAGGAGAUCUGAAUGACCAGUUCUUCUUCAGCUUAUGCAGUGUGUUCUAUUGAGCACCCGGAUCUCCUGGGCAGACCUCGUUCUCUAAGUACGCUAACUGGGGGUAAAAGCAGCGGAACAGAUAUUUCUACUUUUUCUGAAGGACAGUAUGCUAUGAGAAAAAAAUUAAAAUACAAUUUAAUAGUUCAGUAGGAUUUUCUUGAACAUAUAGUUAGUUACUCAUCGCUAUUUAUAGCACUAUCAUUUGAAUAUCCCUAAAGAUGCAGUCAUCAGACUUUUUUUUCAUUACUGCUUUGAAGAACAAACCCAUACUUGUUUUAACAAGUCACAUCAUGGGAGAUGUUAUUCUACGCUCUCCACCCACACAACCCUGGGAUUUAUUUUCAUUUGAGAGCUUGUUAAACAUAGCAGCAGUCAAGUGAAGAAACCAAUGUUCCAAGACACAAAGGAUUCACACGGAUAAAUCAUGAACUCUAGUAGUGGGAAAGAACCAUCGUUGCUUUGAAAUGGAAUGGUCAGUAGCACUCUUCAAAGCUGCAAGAGGUUGGCUUUAGUUUUUAGUUUUGCGACACCGAGUGACUAAUUGCAUUAUAUCUAUUUAGGUUCAUGUGUUCUCUGUCCACCUUUCCUGUACAGACAGGCCUAAGGGGAGGAUAGAAAAAUAAAAAGCAUUUGACAAUCGCAGAAGUGACAAACUCGCGGUAGAAUUCAAUCCUAUGGUAGGACGUGAGGGGCCAGAUUUCACCCCAUCUCAUGCAUGUGGGUGUUUGUGUAGCUGUCGCCAGCAGUUACGCCAUGGCAGCACUGGUCACCUUUGCAGAUGGCUCCAAGCCAUUCUGGGGUCAACCAGCUGCAGCAAAGAACAGGACACGCUUCUCUCGCCCCACCCUCGCAGCAGCUCACUGCAACAUACAGGGCAGCUAUUUCCCUUAGCAUCUGAUGCAUUUUCUUAAGCCAGCUGCUCACAGUUGUGAAGCAGCCCGAGAUGAGGCUAAUCCUAGCAGUGAUGUUGACAUUCAGAGGUAUCCAGUGCAUCAGAAGAUUCGUGCCAUGGUUUCCCCUAGGGGCAGCAUCCCAUCAGCCUUGGGAAAGGGCUUUUAAUUCUAAUGUUUGUGCAUGUUUCUUUGCAGUUUUUCAGUGUGCUUAAGUCUCCUAUUAAGGGAAUUACAAGUUCAGUAUGAAACUUCUGGGAUAUCUAAAAUACGAAUAUUGUGAAGACUUGUUAUUCUAAGUCAGAGGUAUUUGGAAAUAUUUAUGCCAGUUGGGGAGACAGCUUAAUAUUUAGGAAUUAGCCACUCACAUUAUGGGUCCAGUCUUACUGCCCGUGAAUAACAACUUAUUCUCUUCCUCCUUGUACAGUUUUACCCUACUUAACUCUAGAACAGAAUUUAUACCCCCCCCAAGAAAGUUCCGAAUUUUUACUUGGCUUAUUUUUUUUCCUUUGUAAAAUACUUUAGCAGCACCAGCAUCAGCUGAGCAGGGAUUUUGAAGCUAUUUCCUAAGACAGAACCGCUUGCUUCAAGGGUGCAAUUUUUUCCCUAAAUAUAGUUUUUCCAACUGCAUAAAGACAUAACUAAAAUAAAAUUCUUUCUCCUUUCAUUCCCUCACUGUGGCUACAGUGUAUUUUGUGCUCUCAAGUAGCAGGGAAGCUCAACAGUCCAAAAGAGGAACUUCAAAAAUGUUUUUAGCAGCAGUGAUUUAGUAAGUGCUGUUCAGGAAACAUCUCCUGUAUGGCUCCCCACUCCAGUCAGUGCUGCCAUUUCUGGUUUAGGAUUAAUGAAUGUUUCCUCUAAAGUAAAGAAAAUGUGCUCCUGAAAUUUAAAAAUUCAGAAACUGCGGCCCUCCCAUUCAUGCAAUCCCUACUGGCAGCAGGAGCACUGCGGUGAGUCACCUGCUCCAUAUGCCCGUCUGUCUGUCUGUCUUCAACUGAGCAGGCCUAAUGGUAUGUUUAGUAUGCAGGAACAAGAAGAUGUCUCAGAAGAAGUCAAUGCAGUCACGCUUUAAUGUGUUUUUACAUCCUUUUACGAUUCACAAAGCCAGAAUAUAAGUACUUAUACAUUUUUAAUAGGAAAGUAAUAUAUUCCCCUAAAAGAAAAAUAGAUUUGAUUAACCAUUUGUCAUAAAAGUUGCCUGACAGUUGAAACUUCAAGCUUCUAAGCUAGAAAAGCUCAAAUAGACAAAUUAUACUGAAAUGUUCUUUAAAGACCAAGCAGCUGUUUUAUUAAAAUAUUAAAUUUACAUUUUAAAAAGAAAUAUUCUGAUUUAUUAUUCAAUUAUGAUAAUAUUAUUGAAGUGACAUGAAAUUCAUGACCAUGGGCUUUAUUCUGUCCAAAUUCUGUCCUCAGUUACCCGCAGGCAAUCAGUUUUGCCAUUAUUUAGAACUGUGCAAGAUCACACACACAGAGAAGCACCAUUCUGGAAAGACAAAUCCAAGACACUGGAUUUCAACUGGAUUCUAAUUUUCCCCAGAGAAAGUGGGUUUUCAGGUCUGGGACUAGGGCUGGAUCCAGCGCCUGCUGCACUGAGGCCCUUGGGUCAGACCCAAAGGACCCAUCCAAACCUCACUGCCACAAGAAACAGAAAAAGGAUUUCAGAAUACACCAACUUCGUCCCGCAGCACAAGUGAAUGACCUUCAAACAACUUGAAGCAGGUUGAAUUUACAUUUUACUUCAAAAAAAAAAAAAAGGUAAAGUACAUACAUGAGGGGAAAACGGGGUGAACAACAAUUAUCUGAAACCAGGUUUCUACCAUUUUUACCUACAGUUACCAACUGCAUUUGAAUCAGGCGGGCUCUUGCCAGCUGUCGCACACUUGCUUACAAUAUGAACAGGAUUGUGGAUCAAGGAAACAUUUUCAAAGUUGAGGCCCAAAUGGAAAUAGUAAGAUAUCAUACACAGUGUAAGUUUAUAGUACACAGCAUUUUUUUUUAAAUGACGUAAUGUAACAGCAGGAAGGAGUAGUAGUAGUUAACAGUUACUAACACUAGAAUAAUCAAAUUUGUAUGUUAUACAUAUACAGCAACUAACUGCUUUACAAAAAAAAGCAAAAUAAUACAAUAUAUUGUCACAUGUAUUUACAGUGUAGUAAAUAUACUUUUCUGUCAAAUUUUACACAAAAACUAUUUACAGGUGAAUAUACGGCAUUAAAAAAAAAUUGUGGGACCAACACGAAAAGUGACUUUCUGUGGUAAGUUUGUUGCAUAACAAUAAGACGUGCUUCAUUACAUUUGAAAAAAAUUAACCUUAGAAUGAAACAGAAAAAGCCCUAAAACCUACAACCCAGUUAGGAAUAGAGCACCGGGACGCUCCCAGGUGCUCAGUCCACAAAACUUAAUUGAAAUGUUUCCUGUUCUUGGAAACCUCAUGCACAUUAAAGCAGAAACAUUGGCAUAAUUAACAGGUAGGUUAUGCACUACUCAAAUACUACUGAAUUAUCUUUAAGUCGGGGAAAAUACAAACACAAACAAAAUGUUAAUCAUCUUUACAGUACUUAACUGUAGUUAGUGCGUAAUGGAUAACGUGUUCUAAAACAGGGGUGUCAAACAUACAGUCCCCACGAUGUAGUUACAUGGUCCGCAUGUUAAAACCAGAUUUUUCUGAAUCUAAGUUUUCAUUUCAAAGUGCGCAGACUCCACGGCUGCAGUAGCCCACGCAGCAGUGACUGCCCGCGUCUGCAGGCUGCCUGAAACAGCGAUGCGAAGGUCGGAACUCUUAGAUCUGUCUCCCACUCGCUAGAUCAAGUUUCAAGCCCACAUCGUCACCAGCAACCACCUGCUGAUCACUACGAGCAUAAACAGAGUAACAGGAUGAGGAGAGAACAGGAGCAGGCUGGGCUGGGAACUGAGUGGUGCUCACAGGAACGAAACGGAGCAGGAUGGAGAAUAUUCAAAACGGGAGAAGAGAACAAAUAAAGGAGGAUGUGAGAAAGAAAACAGAAAGGCAAAACAGCAGCAAUGGCCGUUACAGGGAGCAGGCUAGGUGAUGAACGUGACAGUAAGGCACUGAACAGCUCAUUACUAACAGAAGUUUAAUCGUUGAAGAAAGGCCAUGUCUUCCCCUUGAUCUAAGCACAAGCUUCCCAGCUACUGGUACUGGGGGAUGACUUUCCUGUGUAUCGGGGCACACGUGAUUCCAAAUUAAACUUUGGCCAUCGACUGUAAUUACACCCAAAUUCAGCCCCCAUGACCUAACAUGUUUGACACCCCUGCUCUAAGAAAGUUCAGGUCCUCUCACUGAACCAUGCAGUGAAAACAUUAAAUGAUGCCCCCUCCUUCCAGGAAAUAGAAUAAAUUAAAUUUUGUUGACUUACUUUAUGAAGAUAGCAGGUUUUUUCAGCUGGGACUGAGAGCCUGGAGUAGUUCUAGUUCUCAGAUGAAAGGUAAUUUUAAUUGCUGUCCAUUUUGAUUUCGCAUUGUAUGUAUUUCAAAGAAUGCAUUAAUUCUAAUUGAGGGACACUUUUUUUUUUUAUAUAGGCAAUGCAAAAUAUUGAAAAAGCUGCUCUCAAAUGCACCCAAUCCAAACAAAACCAAUUUGGUAGUUCAUCUGGAAUUACUAUUUCUGUUUAAAGAAAAUCUGCUCGUAGGAGAAACAACUGAAAGCUGUAUUUUUCUAACAGCAAAUUACCUUUACAAGAGAUUCUUUUUUCCUCCUAACUACAAAUGCUCAGGCUUCCACAAUUCAUUGUCUUCAGCAAAACGGAAAGGGCUGGACUUCGCUUGAUUCAGUACAACCACGUGCAAACUGGCAGCGAUGCUGAAGGCGGCUAUUGGCAAUUUGAUGUAUGAGAUGAGAACGGUUUUUAAAUCGGUGACUCCCAACGUGUUGCAUGCGUAGCGGCGCAGGACACGGCACGAGUCACUGCUCUACCCCUGCAUGCAGUUCUAGCCUCACGAUCCCUUUCACAGUUCUGCAUCAGCUCAGUAACCACAUUUCUACUGCAGCUCCUACACGACCAAGAAUUAAAAAAACUGGUUAAUUCCAUGAGUCUUCGUAUUUUCCAACGUAUCUAUUUCAAGACUGCGAAUUCUAAGUUUUCCCCUUGUUUUGGCAAACUAUUUGCAUAUUACGUUUGUGUUCAUAGUUUUUCCAGGACUGUAAACAAAUUAAAGAAAUUAAAUUGUUAUUUUAUGAAUCAAUACAAUAAAGGUAUUUUUAUUUACAUAAAUGUUACAUUGUUACUGUGUGGAUACAUGUGAAUUAUGUGCUAUAUCAAUAAAAUCUGAACACUUACUUGUACCAUUCUCUAAUAA